CUGGCGGCGUGCUUAACACAUGCAAGUCGAACGAGAAGCUCACUUCGGUGAGUGGACAGUGGCAGACGGGUGAGUAACGCGUGGCAACCUACCCUUCACUACGGGACAACAGUUGGAAACGACUGCUAAUACCGUAUACGUCCUCCGGGAGAAAGAUUUAUCGGUGAUGGAUGGGGCCGCGUUAGAUUAGCUUGUUGGUGAGGUAAUGGCUCACCAAGGCGACGAUCUAUAGCUGGUCUGAGAGGAUGAUCAGCCACACUGGGACUGAGACACGGCCCAGACUCCUACGGGAGGCAGCAGUGGGGAAUAUUGGACAAUGGGCGCAAGCCUGAUCCAGCAACGCCGCGUGAAUGAUGAAGGCCUUAGGGUUGUAAAAUUCUUUCGCUAGGGAAGAUAAUGACUGUACCUAGUAAAGAAGCCCCGGCUAACUCCGUGCCAGCAGCCGCGGUAAUACGGAGGGGGCUAGCGUUGUUCGGAAUUACUGGGCGUAAAGCGUGCGUAGGCGGAUUAAUAAGUUAGAUGUGAAAUCCCAGGGCUCAACCCUGGAACUGCAUUUAAAACUGUUAGUCUUGAGUUCUGGAGAGGUAAGUGGAAUUGCUAGUGUAGAGGUGAAAUUCGUAGAUAUUAGCAGGAACACCAGAGGCGAAGGCGGCUUACUGGACAGAUACUGACGCUGAGGCACGAAAGUGUGGGGAGCAAACAGGAUUAGAUACCCUGGUAGUCCACACCGUAAACUAUGAGAGCUAGUUGUCUGCAUGCAUGCAUGUAGGUGACGCAGCUAACGCAUUAAGCUCUC
RNAcentral lists this ribosomal RNA (796 nucleotides) under uncultured Litorimonas sp. RNAcentral describes it as "bacterial SSU rRNA". It matches the Rfam family "Bacterial small subunit ribosomal RNA", at positions 36 to 869 of the family's 1533-position model. The record is from RNAcentral. Lineage: Bacteria; Pseudomonadati; Pseudomonadota; Alphaproteobacteria; Maricaulales; Robiginitomaculaceae.